RNAcentral lists this transfer RNA (73 nucleotides) under Monodelphis domestica (gray short-tailed opossum). It matches the Rfam family "tRNA". From Rfam's summary of the family: Transfer RNA (tRNA) molecules are approximately 80 nucleotides in length. Their secondary structure includes four short double-helical elements and three loops (D, anti-codon, and T loops). Further hydrogen bonds mediate the characteristic L-shaped molecular structure. tRNAs have two regions of fundamental functional importance: the anti-codon, which is responsible for specific mRNA codon recognition, and the 3' end, to which the tRNAs corresponding amino acid is attached (by aminoacyl-tRNA synthetases). tRNAs cope with the degeneracy of the genetic code in two manners: having more than one tRNA (with a specific anti-codon) for a particular amino acid; and 'wobble' base-pairing, i.e. permitting non-standard base-pairing at the 3rd anti-codon position. Lineage: Eukaryota; Metazoa; Chordata; Mammalia; Didelphimorphia; Didelphidae. The record is from Rfam by way of RNAcentral.
GCCCCACUAGCUCAUUUGGUAGGGUAUGAGAUUCUUAAUCUCAGGGUUGUGGGUUCUAGUCCCAUGUUGUAUG